GACGAACGCUGGCGGCGUGCUUAACACAUGCAAGUCGAACGGAAAGGCCCUGCUUUUGUGGGGUGCUCGAGUGGCGAACGGGUGAGUAACACGUGAGUAACCUGCCCUUGACUUUGGGAUAACUUCAGGAAACUGGGGCUAAUACCGGAUAGGAGCUCCUGCUGCAUGGUGGGGGUUGGAAAGUUUCGGCGGUUGGGGAUGGACUCGCGGCUUAUCAGCUUGUUGGUGGGGUAGUGGCUUACCAAGGCUUUGACGGGUAGCCGGCCUGAGAGGGUGACCGGCCACAUUGGGACUGAGAUACGGCCCAGACUCCUACGGGAGGCAGCAGUGGGGAAUAUUGCAAAAUGGGCGGAAGCCUGAUGCAGCAACGCCGCGUGCGGGAUGAAGGCCUUCGGGUUGUAAACCGCUUUCGCCUGUGACGAAGCGUGAGUGACGGUAAUGGGUAAAGAAGCACCGGCUAACUACGUG
Molecule: ribosomal RNA, 468 nt
Filed under: uncultured bacterium
Lineage: Bacteria
Description: partial 16S ribosomal RNA
Rfam family: Bacterial small subunit ribosomal RNA
Source: RNAcentral